RNAcentral lists this non-coding RNA (27 nucleotides) under Homo sapiens (human). Lineage: Eukaryota; Metazoa; Chordata; Mammalia; Primates; Hominidae. The record is from RNAcentral.
UCACACAGUAAUGAUGUGACUGGGGGC